Molecule: long non-coding RNA, 90 nt
Organism: Dermochelys coriacea (leatherback sea turtle)
Lineage: Eukaryota; Metazoa; Chordata; Testudines; Dermochelyidae
Exons: 3
Source: RefSeq, a predicted model, not a curated record
CAUUGCAGAGCAUUUUGGGAAGGGUUAAAGGUGUGAGUGGGGAGUGGAGGAUUUUUUUUGCAGGCUGCAAGAGGCCAAAGGGGGAAGGAG